UGGGGAAUUUUGGACAAUGGGCGAAAGCCUGAUCCAGCAAUGCCGCGUGUGUGAAGAAGGCCUUCGGGUUGUAAAGCACUUUUGUCCGGAAAGAAAUCCUUGGCUCUAAUACAGUCGGGGGAUGACGGUACCGGAAGAAUAAGCACCGGCUAACUACGUGCCAGCAGCCGCGGUAAUACGUAGGGUGCAAGCGUUAAUCGGAAUUACUGGGCGUAAAGCGUGCGCAGGCGGUUUGCUAAGACCGAUGUGAAAUCCCCGGGCUCAACCUGGGAACUGCAUUGGUGACUGGCAGGCUAGAGUAUGGCAGAGGGGGGUAGAAUUCCACGUGUAGCAGUGAAAUGCGUAGAGAUGUGGAGGAAUACCGAUGGCGAAGGCAGCCUCCUGGGCCAAUACUGACGCUCAUGCACGAAAGCGUGGGGGAGCAAAACAGGAUUAGAUACCCCUGGUAGUCCACGCCCUAAACGAUGUCAACUAGUUGUUGGGGAUUCAUUUCCUUAGUAACGUAGCUAACGCGUGAAGUUGACCGCCUGGGGAGUACGGUCGCAAGAUU
Molecule: ribosomal RNA, 550 nt
Filed under: uncultured bacterium
Lineage: Bacteria
Description: partial 16S ribosomal RNA
Rfam family: Bacterial small subunit ribosomal RNA
Source: RNAcentral